CCUACGGGGGGCAGCAGUGAGGAAUAUUGGUCAAUGGGCGAGAGCCUGAACCAGCCAAGUCGCGUGAGGGAGUACUGCCCUAUGGGUUGUAAACCUCUUUUGUCGGGGAGCAAAAGCCGGACGUGUCCGGCUGUGAGAGUACCCGAAGAAAAAGCAUCGGCUAACUCCGUGCCAGCAGCCGCGGUAAUACGGAGGAUGCGAGCGUUAUCCGGAUUUAUUGGGUUUAAAGGGUGCGCAGGCGGAUUUUUAAGUCAGUGGUAAAAUCGUGGGGCUCAACCCCAUCCAGCCGUUGAAACUGGGGAUCUAGAGUGUGCGAGAGGUAUGCGGAAUGCGUGGUGUAGCGGUGAAAUGCAUAGAUAUCACGCAGAACCCCGAUUGCGAAGGCAGCAUACCGGUGCACAACUGACGCUCAGGCACGAAAGCGUGGGUAUCGAACAGGAUUAGAUACCCUGGUAGUC
RNAcentral lists this ribosomal RNA (458 nucleotides) under uncultured bacterium. Its description in RNAcentral is "partial 16S ribosomal RNA". It matches the Rfam family "Bacterial small subunit ribosomal RNA", at positions 338 to 795 of the family's 1533-position model. The record is from RNAcentral.